UGCAGCUAUCGUUUCAAUGUUUUCAAUAACUAAUCAAUCUUAAGUUUGACUUGAUGUCUGCGCUGCACGCGAUGACUUAUUUCGGGUAGUGUUUUUCGCAGCCAGAACAGCAAGAAAAACGGCAAAACUUUUUCAGAACUCGCUGUGUAAUCGACAACAGUAAAGCAAGUGCCAACUUUUUUGCUGGCUCACAUCAAUCAGCCUGGGGUGGAAACGUAAGCUCACGUCACUCAGCCAGACAGUCCUUCAACCAGCGAGUUGGAGGGGUAAAGAUGGACGAGGAGACAGGAGAACGCAAGAGAAGGAUGAAGUUGGGUAGAGAGAGUUGAACUUUUGGCGUUGACAGCCGGAAUACAAAAUGCGGGCGAAAUAUGUCGAUACGAAUCAAGCGAAAGCUCGACUCAUUUUCACAUUACCCCAGCAAUAAUGAAUGGAAGAAAUGGUUGGAAAAUAUGAAAAACUCGCUUGCCAGGUCGAAGAGCUCAGCUCUCUAGCCGGGCCUGGAGCUGAACUAUAAAUGCUAGACAAUAAAUAACCACAACUUAAGCAUAUUGCGGUUAGGAGCAGCCCGUGUAACCCUCUAACACACGGUGCGAAUUCCCGCUGCACUCUCCGUGCACUCGCCACUCGCCAGUUGCCUUCUACCGGCAGCUACUCUCUGUCAGCCAUAUUUCAUUUUCAUGCUCCCAAUUGUUUUGCUUUUGACAAAUGAGUGAGCCAGACAGAGAACGCUCCAGAUAGAGACAGCCUGCUGGCUCUGCCCUGACGCGGUGGAGAAGUGAGCGAGUGUGUACAAGCCUGCAGCUGAUAUGUCAGUCAGUCAGCGUCAACCCGUCAAUGGGCCAAAGUCAAAGUCGUGCCAAAGUCAGGCCGCUGGUCAAAUCUGUUAAGCUUAAACAAGUCAAAAUGCCAUCGCCAGCUGAUGUUGUUGCUCCCUUUUGUGCCAAGUAGUUUAAUCAAUUACUCGAAAUAAAUAUCGAACCACAAAACUGCCUAUUACAAACAA
Long non-coding RNA from Drosophila montana, 1006 nucleotides. RefSeq lists it as uncharacterized. NCBI's taxonomy places the organism in Eukaryota, Metazoa, Arthropoda, Insecta, Diptera, Drosophilidae. The transcript has 2 exons. The record is from RefSeq and is a predicted model, not a curated record.